This 253-nucleotide ribosomal RNA is filed under the name uncultured bacterium. RNAcentral describes it as "partial 16S ribosomal RNA". It matches the Rfam family "Bacterial small subunit ribosomal RNA", at positions 524 to 776 of the family's 1533-position model. The record is from RNAcentral.
UACUUAGGGUGCUAGCGUUGUUCGGAAUCAUUGGGCGUAAAGCGCGUGUAGGUGGUUAGUUAAGUCGGGUGUGAAAUCCCUGGGCUCAACCGAGGAAGUGCAUCCGAAACUAACUAGCUAGAGAGUGGUAGAGGAAGGUGGAAUUCCUAGUGUAGAGGUGAAAUUCGUAGAUAUUAGGAAGAACACCAGUGGCGAAGGCGGCUCACUGGCCCGGUACUGACGCUGAGGCGCGAAAGCGUGGGGAGCAAACAGG